RNAcentral lists this non-coding RNA (90 nucleotides) under Octadecabacter arcticus 238. RNAcentral's name for it is "Rhodo-rpoB RNA". It matches the Rfam family "Rhodo-rpoB RNA". The record is from RNAcentral. Lineage: Bacteria; Pseudomonadati; Pseudomonadota; Alphaproteobacteria; Rhodobacterales; Roseobacteraceae.
UGGUCGGGAGGCACCCAGUGGGAUGGGCGCCAAGAAUUGGCCGAAACGAUCUGUUCUCAGGGUUCGUCCCCGCCGCCCAUCGGUGACGCG